AUACGGAGGGUGCGAGCGUUAAUCGGAAUUACUGGGCGUAAAGGGUCCGUAGGCGGUCUGCUUAGUCUGAUGUGAAAGCCCCGGGCUUAACCUGGGAAUGGCAUUGGAUACUGGCGGACUAGAGUCUGCUAGAGGGUGGUGGAAUUCCCGGUGUUGCGGUGAAAUGCGUAGAUAUCGGGAGGAACACCAGUGGCGAAGGCGGCCACCUGGACCAAGACUGACGCUGAGGGACGAAAGCGUGGGGAGCAAACAGAAUUAGAAACCCUAGUAGUCC
This 274-nucleotide ribosomal RNA is filed under the name uncultured bacterium. RNAcentral's name for it is "partial 16S ribosomal RNA". It matches the Rfam family "Bacterial small subunit ribosomal RNA", at positions 523 to 796 of the family's 1533-position model. The record is from RNAcentral.